This is a non-coding RNA of Microcebus murinus (gray mouse lemur), 1272 nucleotides long. NCBI's taxonomy places the organism in Eukaryota, Metazoa, Chordata, Mammalia, Primates, Cheirogaleidae. The record is from RefSeq and is a predicted model, not a curated record.
GGGCGCAAGUUCGGUGCGCAUGCGCCCUGCCUACUCGUCCAGGCAAGAUGGCGCCUGUGGAGCACGUUGUGGCGGACGCUGGGGCUUUCUUGCGGGACGCGGCUUUGCAGGACAUCGGCAAGAACAUCUACACUAUCCGGGAGGUGGUCAGCGAGAUUCGGGAUAAAGCCACGCGCAGGCGGCUCGCGGUCCUGCCCUACGAGCUGAGGUUCAAGCAGCCCUUCCCCGAAUACGUGCGGCUGGUGACUGAGUUUUCAAAGAAAACUGGAGACUAUCCCAGUCUCUCUGCCACAGAUAUCCAAGUGCUGGCACUCACCUACCAGUUGGAAGCAGAGUUUGUUGGGGUAUCUCACCUAAAACAAGAACCAGAAAAGGUUAAAGUGACCUCAUCGAUUCAGCACCCAGAAACUCCUCUGCACAUUUCUGGUUUCCAUCUGCCCUCCAAGCCUAAAUCCCCAAAAGACACAGUAGAAAAAGCACACCCAGCCGGUGAGCCUGAGGACCUAGAAUUCAAUUCCUUCACGUUCUGGAGAAACCCACUGCCAAAUAUCGAUCGUGAACUACAGGAACUGCUGAUUGACAGAGGUGAGGAUGUUCCAAGUGAGGAGGAGGAGGAAGAAAAUGGGCUUGAAGAGAGAAAAGGCGAAGACAGCGAUGACGAUGAGGGUGGGUGGAUAACCCCCAGCAACAUCAAGCAGAUCCAGCAGGAGCUAGAGCAGUGCGACGUCCCGAAGGACGUGCGGGUCGGCUGUGUGACUACAGACUUCGCCAUGCAGAAUGUUCUGCUGCAGAUGGGGCUGCAUGUGCUGGCAGUGAAUGGCAUGCUGAUCCGCGAGGCCCGGAGCUACAUCUUGCGCUGCCACGGCUGUUUCAGGACAACAUCUGACAUGGGCGAGUGUUCUGUUCACAUUGUGGGAACAGACCUGAAGAAAGUGUCUGUGACCAUCAGUGACGAUGGCACCCUGCAUAUGCACUUUUCCGCAACCCCAAGGUGCUGAAUCCUCGGGCUCCGGUACUCACUUCCUGCUCCUAAAGGUGGCAAAUACGCCAUCACCCCAUCUCACCGAGGAUCAGCGCUUCCCUCAGCUGCGACUCUCCCAAAAGGCCAGGCAGAAACCAUGUGUUCGCCCUGACUACAUAGCCGGGGUCCCCCCUUCUGCUGAGAUGACAUCUCCAGCAGGUCGGCUACCCUGCAGGUCCGGGACAGCACCUAGGACUGGGAGGAGACGUUUAAAUCCAAUGGCUUCCAGAAAGAAUGUGAAGAAAAGGUGA